This 401-nucleotide ribosomal RNA is filed under the name uncultured bacterium. Its description in RNAcentral is "partial 16S ribosomal RNA". It matches the Rfam family "Bacterial small subunit ribosomal RNA", at positions 360 to 773 of the family's 1533-position model. The record is from RNAcentral.
AAUAUUGCACAAUGGGCGGAAGCCUGAUGCAGCGACGCCGCGUGAGGGAUGAAGGCCUUCGGGUUGUAAACCUCUUUCAGCAGGGACGAAGCGUGAGUGACGGUACCUGCAGAAGAAGCACCGGCUAACUACGUGCCAGCAGCCGCGGUAAUACGUAGGGUGCGGGCGUUGUCCGGAAUUACUGGGCGUAAAGAGUUCGUAGGCGGUUUGGCGCGUCGUUUGUGAAAACCCGGGGCUCAACUUCGGGCUUGCAGGCGAUACGGGCAGACUUGAGUGUUACAGGGGAGACUGGAAUUCCUGGUGUAGCGGUGAAAUGCGCAGAUAUCAGGAGGAACACCGGUGGCGAAGGCGGGUCUCUGGGAAACAACUGACGCUGAGGAACGAAAGCGUGGGUAGCAAAC